RNAcentral lists this ribosomal RNA (253 nucleotides) under uncultured bacterium. RNAcentral describes it as "partial 16S ribosomal RNA". It matches the Rfam family "Bacterial small subunit ribosomal RNA", at positions 524 to 776 of the family's 1533-position model. The record is from RNAcentral.
UACAGAGGGUGCAAGCGUUGUUCGGAAUUAUUGGGCGUAAAGGGCGCGUAGGCGGUGCCACAAGUCACCUGUGAAAUCCCCGGGCUUAACCUGGGAACUGCGCUUCUAACUGGCAGGCUGGAGUGUGGCAGAGGGGGGUGGAAUUCCACGUGUAGCAGUGAAAUGCGUAGAGAUGUGGAGGAACACCGAUGGCGAAGGCAGCCCCCUGGGCUAACACUGACGCUCAUGCACGAAAGCGUGGGGAGCAAACAGG